Molecule: ribosomal RNA, 286 nt
Filed under: uncultured Dialister sp.
Lineage: Bacteria; Bacillati; Bacillota; Negativicutes; Veillonellales; Veillonellaceae
Description: partial 16S ribosomal RNA
Rfam family: Bacterial small subunit ribosomal RNA
Source: RNAcentral
UUCGGUCAAUUGAAACUUUGACUUAGUGGCGGACGGGUGAGUAACACGUGAGCAACCUGCCUUUCAGAGGGGGAUAACGGCUGGAAACGGUCGCUAAUACCGAAUAAGUUCCAAGAGCCGCAUGGCCCAUGGAAGAAAAGGUGGCCUCUACCUGUAAGCUAUCGCCUGAAGAGGGGUUUGCGUCUGAUUAGCUGGUUGGAGGGGUAACGGCCCACCAAGGCGACGAUCAGUAGCCGGUCUGAGAGGAUGAACGGCCACACUGGAACUGAGACACGGUCCAGACUCC